This 951-nucleotide ribosomal RNA is filed under the name uncultured archaeon. RNAcentral describes it as "bacterial SSU rRNA". It matches the Rfam family "Archaeal small subunit ribosomal RNA", at positions 43 to 1000 of the family's 1478-position model. The record is from RNAcentral.
GCUAAGCCAUGCGAGUCAUUGUAGCAAUACAAGGCAGACGGCUCAGUAACGCGUAGUCAAUCUACCCUAUGGACGGGGAUAACCUCGGGAAACUGAGAAUAAUACCCGAUAGAACAUUAUGCCUGGAAUGGUUUAUGUUUCAAAUGAUUUAUCGCCAUAGGAUGGGACUGCGGCCUAUCAGUUUGUUGGUGAGGUAAUGGCCCACCAAGACUAUUACAGGUACGGGCUCUGAGAGGAGUGGCCCGGAGAUGGGUACUGAGACACGGACCCAGGCCCUAUGGGGCGCAGCAGGCGAGAAAACUUUGCAAUGUGCGAAAGCACGACAAGGUUAAUCCGAGUGGUUUCUGCUAAAGAAACCUUUUGUCAGUCCUAGAAACACUGAUGAAUAAGGGGUGGGCAAGUUCUGGUGUCAGCCGCCGCGGUAAAACCAGCACCUCAAGUGGUCAGGAUGAUUAUUGGGCCUAAAGCAUCCGUAGCUCGUUUUGUAAGUUUUCGGCUAAAUCCAUGCGCUUAACGUAUGGGCUGCCGGGAAUACUGCAUAACUAGGAAGUGGGAGAGGUAGACGGUACUCGGUAGGAAGGGGUAAAAUCCUUUGAUCUAUUGAUGACCACCUGUGGCGAAGGCGGUCUACCAGAACGCGUUCGACGGUGGGGGAUGAAAGCUGGGGGAGCAAACCGGAUUAGAUACCCGGGUAGUCCCAGCUGUAAACUAUGCAAACUCAGUGAUGCAUUGGCUUGUGGCCAAUGCAGUGCUGCAGGGAAGCCGUUAAGUUUGCCGCCUGGGAAGUACGUACGCAAGUAUGAAACUUAAAGGAAUUGGCGGGGGAGCACCACAAGGGGUGAAGCCUGCGGUUCAAUUGGAGUCAACGCCAGAAAUCUUACCCGGAGAGACAGCAGAAUGAAGGUCAAGCUGAAGACUUUACCAGACAAGCUGAGAGGAGGUGCAUGGCCA